GAUGAACGCUGGCGGCGUGCCUAAUACAUGCAAGUCGAGCGAAUGGAUUAAGAGCUUGCUCUUAUGAAGUUAGCGGCGGACGGGUGAGUAACACGUGGGUAACCUGCCCAUAAGACUGGGAUAACUCCGGGAAACCGGGGCUAAUACCGGAUAACAUUUUGAACCGCAUGGUUCGAAAUUGAAAGGCGGCUUCGGCUGUCACUUAUGGAUGGACCCGCGUCGCAUUAGCCAGUUGGUGAGGUAACGGCUAACCAAGGCAACGAUGCGUCGCCGACCUGAGAGGGUGAUCGGCCACACUGGGACUGAGACACGGCCCAGACUCCUACGGGAGGCAGCAGUAGGGAAUCUUCCGCAAUGAACGAAAGUCUGACGGAGCAACGCCGCGUGAGUGAUGAAGGCUUUCGGGUCGUAAAACUCUGUUGUUAGGGAAGAACAAGUGCUAGUUGAAUAAGCUAGCACCUUGACGGUACCUAACCAGAAAGCCACGGCUAACUACGUGCCAGCAGCCGCCGUAA
RNAcentral lists this ribosomal RNA (515 nucleotides) under uncultured bacterium. Its description in RNAcentral is "partial 16S ribosomal RNA". It matches the Rfam family "Bacterial small subunit ribosomal RNA", at positions 28 to 523 of the family's 1533-position model. The record is from RNAcentral.